CACCGCCCGUCACAUCAUGAAAGCCGCUUGUACCCGAAGUCACCGAUCGAACCCGCAAGGGACGAAGGCGCCGAAGGUGAGCUCGAUGAUUGGGACU
RNAcentral lists this ribosomal RNA (97 nucleotides) under uncultured bacterium. Its description in RNAcentral is "partial 16S ribosomal RNA". The record is from RNAcentral.